RNAcentral lists this ribosomal RNA (447 nucleotides) under Clostridioides difficile. RNAcentral describes it as "bacterial LSU rRNA". It matches the Rfam family "Bacterial large subunit ribosomal RNA", at positions 2476 to 2925 of the family's 2925-position model. The record is from RNAcentral. Lineage: Bacteria; Bacillati; Bacillota; Clostridia; Peptostreptococcales; Peptostreptococcaceae.
AACAGGCUUAUCUCCCCCAAGAGUCCACAUCGACGGGGAGGUUUGGCACCUCGAUGUCGGCUCAUCACAUCCUGGGGCUGUAGUAGGUCCCAAGGGUUGGGCUGUUCGCCCAUUAAAGUGGUACGCGAGCUGGGUUCAGAACGUCGUGAGACAGUUCGGUCCCUAUCCGUCGCAGGCGUAGGAAAUUUGAGAAGACCUGUCCUUAGUACGAGAGGACCGGGAUGGACGUACCUCUGGUGUACCAGUUGUUCUGCCAAGGGCAUGGCUGGGUAGCUAUGUACGGAAUGGAUAAGCGCUGAAAGCAUCUAAGCGCGAAGCCAACUUCAAGAUAAGAUUUCCCACCGCAAGGGUAAGACCCCAGAAAGACUAUCUGGUUGAUAGGUCGAAAGUGUAAGUGCAGCAAUGUAUUUAGCUUAUCGAUACUAAUAGGUCGAGGACUUGACCAAU